Molecule: long non-coding RNA, 1016 nt
Filed under: Equus asinus (donkey)
Lineage: Eukaryota; Metazoa; Chordata; Mammalia; Perissodactyla; Equidae
Description: lncRNA (ENSEASG00005033450.1)
Source: RNAcentral
AUUUUAUUAAUGGGGACUUAAUUGCCACAGAACCAUUAUCUUAGAACUUCCAGAUUCUGCAGGCCCCUGGAGUUCCGGCCAUGCCACUGGUCACAGUGAAUAAUUCCAAAAAUCUGAACUCAUUCCUACCCCCAAGAAAACUUAAGAGCAUCUUACACUAAAAAGGCAUAACCUUCCUGUUAACCUAAGUGGGUUUUUUUUCACCCACCCAAGCCAAGAACCAAACCAGCCUACCAGGAUCUGACUGACGAAUGGGCCAGUGCCCUCAUUUCACUCACAGUCCUCAGAGGCAACAACUCUCCCGGUGCAUUAGGUCCUAGAAACCAAAUUAUAGGCUGCCUCAUAAAUGGAGCUUGGCUAUUUAAUCAACUGCCUCUGAGCUGGCAAACAGUCCUGAGUCCUGCACACAAAUGAGGAAAUUUUUACAUGCAAUUACCCUGCCAUUUUCCUCAGAGCUGGAGUGUAAUGGGAAACCUGGAGCCCAGUGAAAAUCUGGAAGCCAGAAUGGAUUUGUCUCCAGAGGAAGUCCUCAUCUCCUUUCUUCACUGGCUGGGAAAUUUGGAUUUGCCAAAAUCCCUUUCCUACACGUGGGAACACUGUUUUGAAAACAGCCACCAUUUUUAUCUAGCAGUAAGGAGAGUUCUUAUCACCGUCCCCGACCGCACGGUACUCGGCAAACGUGGACUGGAUCUCCGGCCCGGAGGAUCAGGAGGAGUUUUUGCACGCAGCCUUAACUCCCGCGGCGGCGGCGGCGGCGGCAUCCAAGGAGGGGGGGCAGGGCUGCCAGGACAAACCGACUGAAAAUGGCAGAGGAUGUGCUUUCAUUUUAUCCCGCUGCAGUGUGCACGGAUUGGGCCCGAAAAUAAGGGAACAGCCUAUUAAAAUCCACGCAGUCAACUACAAAAUGUGGAACCGAGGCCUGAAAGGUUUGCUAAGAGAGGGAAACGUUUCCAGGGAGGAUAGCCCUUCCUCUCUCGCAAUUUGCUUCCCCUGAGUGUCCGAAAUACAAAAGUCAA